Molecule: ribosomal RNA, 207 nt
Filed under: uncultured bacterium
Lineage: Bacteria
Description: partial 16S ribosomal RNA
Rfam family: Bacterial small subunit ribosomal RNA
Source: RNAcentral
CGCGUAGGCGGCUUUAUAAGUCUGGAGUGAAAGUCCUCUUUUCAAGGGAGGAAUUGCUUUGGAAACUAUAGAGCUUGAGUGCAGGAGAGGUUAUCGGAAUUCCCGGUGUAGCGAUGAAAUGCGUAGAUAUCGGGAGGAACAUCGGUGGCGAAGGCGGGUAACUGGACUGCAACUGACGCUGAGGCGCGAAAGUGUGGGGAGCAAACA